This 5969-nucleotide long non-coding RNA is filed under the name Marmota monax (woodchuck). Lineage: Eukaryota; Metazoa; Chordata; Mammalia; Rodentia; Sciuridae. The record is from RNAcentral.
CUGAGGGCAAAACCCUCUGCUAUGGCCUGCAUUUUUCUGAUCUCAUCUCCUAUCCUUUCUUUCUCACUCCAAACCAGCCACAAACACUUCCUGCCCUUGAAGGCACCGUGCUCAUUCCAGCCCAAGACCUUUAGUUAGCUGUUAUGUCUGCCAGCUGUUUUUUUCCAAGAUCCCCCCACUCUGUCCCCAAUAAUUGCUAGCUGUCUCUGAUCCUUCAGAUCCCAGUCAAAUGACACCUAUUCACAGAGACCUUUUUAAACACACUCUUUCAUACUUUAUAUCUUGCUCUAUUUUCUUCACAGUGCAUAUCCCUCUUUGCCACAGUCUCAUUUAUUUGCUUAUUCACUUGCUUGUUACUGAGCAUCUCCAAAUAGAAUAUCAGCCACACUUGGCAGUUUCCUUGAGGGCUGUACCCUGCUAUUUCCCUGCAUUGUGGAAUAUUAGUCCCUGAAACGUGGAAAGAGAUUGAUACCUUUUUGAUGAAUGAUGAAUCUCUCCUCGCUUUCCCCAUCUUCCCAUCUUUACUUCCUGUUUUAUAAAAAUGAGCCAUAUAUUCUAUGACUCACUCUUUGGUGUUCCAUCUUGUCAUCAGUAACAGGAAGGUUCAGUCGGAGGAGAAGUGACAGGUGCAGGCCCCCAAUCUUCCUAAUGAGGAUAUAAGAACUUUUCCUGCUGAAUAUCUUCACCUGGACUUUCUUAGGGACCCAUGUUGCUGACCCCAUUUGUCAAGAACUGUACCCUCAGGCUGGAGUGGCCAAGCUCUGAGCUGAGAGGGUAUAAAAGUAGACUGGAUCAGAAAGUCAGACGGGUUGGCCUUUGUGAUAGUCUGCUUCUAAUACCCUUUAAUCUUGGCCAAAUCCUUUAGCUGUUCUCAGCUGCAAAAUGAGGAUGCCUUUAAUGAAUGAGUUCCAGGCUGGUGAGAGACACCAAAAGCAAAACCCAAAAAAUCAUGGGUGUUGUAUUUCCUACAAGCCCAAAGCCUUCUAGCUCCUCCUCUCUUUGGGGAUCACCAAGCUCAACUGACGUGUUCUCAGAGAAGCCUGAUCUCCCCAAACAGACUCCAUCUUUCAGCUGUCUGACCUCCCAGUCCUGCCUUUCCUUAUGGUCAGAAUGUUUAUGGCUGUGGAGAAUUACUUGAUAUCCAUCUCUCCCUCUGGGCUGUAAGCCCCAUGAAGACAGAGACCAUGGUAGCUUUCAGCAUUUUUUUAUUCGUUUGUAAUAGAUUUUACUUUUUAGAGUAAUUUUAGGUUCACAGCCAAAUUGAGCAGAAGGUACUGAGAUUUCCCAUACACUCCUGCCCCCAAACAUGUACAGCCUCACCUGCUAUCAACAUCUCUCAAAAGAAUAGCCUUCUUGUUAAAAUUGAUGAUCUUACAUUGAUACAUCAUGAUCACCCUAGUAUGUAGUCUACAUUGGAGUUCACUUUUGGUGUUGGAUAUUCUAUGGAUUUGGACCAAUGUAUAAUGAGGUAUCCACCAUUACAGAAUUAUAAGGAGUGGUUUCCCAACCCCCAAAUCCUCUGUGCUCCCCCUUCUCUCCCUGCUCCCAACCCCUGGCAACCAUGGAUCUUUUACUGUCUCCAUAGGUUUGCCUUUUACCAAAAAAGUGUGUAGUCUUUGCAGACUGGCUUCUUUCACUUAGCAAUAUGCAUUUACAGUUCUUCAAUAUCUUUUUGAGGCUGGGUAGUUCAUUUCCUUUUACGGAUGAAUAAAAUUCUGUUGUCUAGAUGGCUUGCAGCUUAUCCACUCACUGACUGAAGGCCAUGCUGAUUGCUUCCAAGUUUUGGCAAUUAUGAAUUAAGGUGCAAUAAACAUCCACAUGCAGGUUUGUGUGUGGACAUAAGUUUUUGCCUCCUUUGGGUAAAUACCAAGGAGCUCAAUUAUUGAGUGCGUUUAGUUUUUUGAGAAACAACCAAACUGUCUUCCAAAGUGGAAAAUACAAAGUGCCAUUUUGCAUUUCCAUCAGCAAAGAAUGAGAAUUCCUAUUGCCCUACUCCUUGCUGGUACUUGGUGUCUGGGUUCUAGAUUUGGACCAUUCUAGCAAGUGCAGAGUGACAGCUCAUUGUUUUGAUUUACACUGAUGACAUAUGAUAUGGAACAUCUUUUCAGAUGUUUAUUUCCCUGGGUUUUGGCUCCACAGUAUCCCCUCAAUGCCUAGCAUAGUACCUAGACACAAGGAGGUGCUCAACAAACAUUUGGAAAAUAAAUGAACCAAUUAAUCAAUCAAACAUUAAAGCAUUCACCUCUCUAAAACCUAUAUUGAGUAAUUUUACAGUAAUUUUAGGUUCACAGCCAAACUGAGCAGAAGGUACUAAGAUAUCCCAUAUACUCCUGCCCCCAAACAUGUACAGCCUCGCCUGCUAUCAACAGCCCUCUUCCUAUAUUGAGGAAAUUCACUAAGGCUAUUGUCAGUAAUCCAAAUUGCUAUCUCUACAACUUGGUCCUUUAACAAGGCUCAAGCUUCUAAUGUACAGAAACUGAAGAAUUCUGGAUCUGAAAUUUCCCUACCUAUGUCUGGUCAGCCUGAAUCAGUCUAGACUUUGCCCCAACUACUAAUUUUACUACUACUCUACUAGUACUUAUUAUUACUUACCAGAGAUUAAACCCAAGGGUGCUUAACCACUGAGCCACAUCCUGAACCCUUUUUAUGUUUUAGAGACAGAGUCUCACUAAGUUGCUGGGACUGGCUUCAAACUUGGGCUCCUCCUGCCUCAGCCUCCUGAGUUGCUAGGAUUACAGGCAUGUGCCAUCACAUCCAGUGAGCCUAAAUUCUUGUGUAAACUCAAAAGUCAUCCAAAUUCUCUGAGCAUCAGGUUUUUCUUGUAUGAGUCCACAAAGGUAUACAUGUAAUAUCAGGAAUUAGAAAUAUCUAGCUAAACAUAGAAUAUGGUCAUAUUAAGUAAAGCAGUGGAACCAGAUGCUCUCUGAGGUCUUCUUUAAAACUCUGGGACUUGGUCUUACAUCAUAGGGUGGAAAAAGAGGGACCAGUUAUGAAGCACCACUCUGGACCUUCUGCAGUGUCUAUAUUUAGUGGCAUUUUAGCUCCUGGAUUGAGUAAGACUAAAGGGGUUGCAGGAUGUCUAUUUGAAAUGACCUCUAGACAGGCCAUUGCCUCUCUUUUCCUCUUGGAGUCUACUUUGUCAUUUCCACCAUGAGAUGCCAAUAAAACCAACCAAUCCUGCCAACGGUAAAGGAUCGCUGUUGAGUCAAGACAGUGAAUGUGGGAGAUGCCUCAAGCAGGAGAAGUUUUGAAAGAGCAAACAGAAGGCUACAAAUCUCAAACAGAGUAAAUAUACAAAGUCACUGGGUGGAUACAUCUCAAACAGACCAUCAAUCACCAGGGUCAGAUGCAAAUAUUAGGUGUAGAGGGAGCCAUCCUCCUGGCACUGCUGUGGAAAUAUCAGGGCUUGGAAAAUGCAAGUGGUUCCUGUUUAAUUACUUAUGUUUUUGUACAAAGGAAAAAAGAUCAGUACAAAACACCAAUAGAUAGGUGGUAGGAUUCAGAGCAAGGGGUUCUUCCUAGGGUACUGAGGCUCUUGAAAGAGUGACUCUCUUUUGUGAGCACCUCUAUAAAAUAAGGGGGUUGGGUACUCUAUAACCCAGGGAUCUCAAUCUUGGUUGCAUAUUAGAAUCACCUGGGGGAUAUUUUAAGACUCUAGAUGCUCACCCCACAUCCAAAACCUAUUAGACUCAGUCAUCCCAAGUGAUUUCUUACAGUAGCCAAAUUUAGGAGCAUCACUGUUCAGAGGCUUUCAUGGUUCCAAAACCGGGCUAAGGUUUCUAAGUCGUAGAUCAUAUGAUGCUCCACUAGGUGGCACCUUCCAGCAGUUUCAAGAAUGAACUCAUAAAGCAGGGCUUGGUGGUCUUUGCUAGGAUCCGUAAUCCUGAUGAGAAGACUGAACUUGUUGUUUAAAAAUUCCUAGUAAGUGGUGGAGUUACAGAAUAUUAAGAUUUGUCCUGUUGGGGAACAGGCCAGGAAAGGGGGCAGCUCCAUUCCUUACUACUGGGCUCACCCAUCCAUGCAUGCACUCUGGGCUUUCCUCCCCCAUCCAUCCAGCAGGAACAGCAAGCUCCCCUCAGAAGCCCUCCAGGAGCCCCAUUAUUGGAGUGGUGACAUCUGCUCUUUAUAUCUGGCUAGUGCAAAACACCCUGCUUUACCUUAAGGAUCUAUACUCCAUGCCCUGGGAGGUUGACUCCACCCUAAACUGCUGGCUUGGCCAAUCAGAGCACUCUAUCCCCUUCCACUUCUGUGAUUAGUCUAGGGGUGAGCACCUGAUUUCCAGAAGACAAACCUGAACCAAUGGGGUUCGUCCUGAGGAUUUUAUGAAGGAAAUAGUGGCCUCUUCUAGGUCAGCUUUCUAACAGGAUGUGAAGAGUCGGCUGAAUGUCUUGCCUUUGCUCUCCUGAAGCUUUUGUUCCUUGCUGCUGCUGCUUCUAUAUUUUUAUUAGUUGUUCACGGAUCCUUCCUUCCUUCCUUCCUUCCUUCCUUCCUUCCUUCCUCUUUUCUUCCUUCCUUCCUUCCUUUCUUUCUUUCUUUCUUUCUUUCUUUCUUUCUUUCUUUCUUUCUUUCUUUCUCUUUCCUUUCUUGUGCUGAGACUUGAACCCAGAGCCUCACACAUGCUAGGCAAAGUGCUUUACCUGGGAGCCGCAACCCCAGCCCAUCCACCAGCUUCUUGAUGCUCCUUUUUCUUGAUGAGCUUAGCCCUUGACAGGACCUAGGAACAGGGAGAAGACCCAGGUCAGGGUUUCUCCCCAGCUCCCUCACUGGGACUAUGCCACCGGCUGACUGUGUCUGCCACUAAGGGCCACAGUGCCUGUCACAGUCUCCCUGGGUUCUGAUAACUGCCCCUCCCCUUAACCUGCAGUCCUAGGGCAUUUCACUGUCCUUGGUGGUCGCCCCUCCCCUCCCAAAGUGUUCUAAUAAAUUCUUCUCAAAUUUUCCAGCAUGAGAGUGCCAUUCAUUUCCUGCCUGAGACCCUAACUCAACAAGGAUGAAGCCCCCAGAGAACAGCCUAACACAGAGGAAAGGGGAGCUGACAGAUCACUGGGUCACUAGAGCUAACCCCUGAUGUCAUCCGGGCUUCUAGUCCAACUCACCUCCCACAUUCAAACAAUUACCUAAUAAUGCUGAUUUUAUUGCCUAAUAAAUUUUAAAUGUAUCCCUUCACCUCUAGGCCUGCUCUGUAGCACAUAUUUCAGAUGCCUGUAAGAAUCCCUGAUCAGAACACUACAUCAAAUGACUAAAUUCCGUACCUUGCCGAGUACCUCAUCCUCAUCUAUGGGCUGGUCCUUGACCAUGACUUGUCUGACUUGGAUCAAAAGGAUGAAUUGGACUACUCAGACUCUCUCAGAAAUUGGAAACAAAUGACAGAGGAAAGAAGAUAGCACUUUAAUCUUCCCCCAAACCCUAUGAGGCAGGUUCUAUUAUUAUUUCCAUUUUCCAAAAGAGGAAACUGAACCAUGCCUAGACACUGUGUGCUAAGUUCUUUAUGUACAUCACCUCACUGACUCUUUUAGUUAUUCAUUCAACCGAUAUUUAUUAAUGCACCUAUCAUGUGCCAGAAACUAUGGGAGAUGCUAGGCAUUCAGUAGUGGGAAAAUGAUAAAUAACAGUCACAGGGCUUACCAUGUGGUAGUGGAAAAGACAUUGUAAAAAUGAAUACAGGAAGGGGCUGGGGAUGUGGCUCAAGCGGUAACAUGUUCGCCUGGCAUGCAUGGGGUGCUGGGUUCGAUCCUCAGCACCACAUUAAAAAAAAAAAAAGAUGUUGUGUCCACCGAAAACUAAAAAAUAAAUAUUAAAAAAUUCUCUCUCUCUGUCUCUCUCUCUUUUAAAAAAAAAUGAAUACAGGAAAAACAGUUGUCUUAGGUAGGAGGAAGGAGAAAGAGCCUCUUGGCUGUUAGACAAAACACUGGGUUAGAACCCAAUGCUGUUGGAAUCCUAGUCCAACAUUCAGCCAAGUUCCACUAUUG